Molecule: ribosomal RNA, 504 nt
Filed under: uncultured Bacteroidales bacterium
Lineage: Bacteria; Pseudomonadati; Bacteroidota; Bacteroidia; Bacteroidales
Description: bacterial SSU rRNA
Rfam family: Bacterial small subunit ribosomal RNA
Source: RNAcentral
GAUGAACGCUAGCUACAGGCUUAACACAUGCAAGUCGCAGGGUAACAUGAGGAAAGCUUGCUUUCCUUGAUGACGACUGGCGCACGGGUGAGUAACGCGUAUCCAACCUUCCCAUAACUACGGGAUAACCCGUUGAAAGACGGCCUAAUACCGUAUGAUAUCGUUUGCUGACAUCAAAUAACGAUUAAAGGUUUAGCGGUUAUGGAUGGGGAUGCGUCUGAUUAGCUUGUUGGCGGGGUAACGGCCCACCAAGGCAACGAUCAGUAGGGGUUCUGAGAGGAAGGUCCCCCACAUUGGAACUGAGACACGGUCCAAACUCCUACGGGAGGCAGCAGUGAGGAAUAUUGGUCAAUGGGCGAGAGCCUGAACCAGCCAAGUAGCGUGCAGGAAGACGGCCCUAUGGGUUGUAAACUGCUUUUAUGUGGGGAUAAAGUGCGUGACGUGUCAUGCAUUGCAGGUACCACAUGAAUAAGGACCGGCUAAUUCCGUGCCAGCCGCCGCGGU